Pongo abelii (Sumatran orangutan) is the source of this 103-nucleotide small nucleolar RNA. The record is from Ensembl. Lineage: Eukaryota; Metazoa; Chordata; Mammalia; Primates; Hominidae.
AUCCUUUUGUGGUUCAUAAUGUGAUGACCAGGUUUUCAUGCCCAUGUGUGAAGUGCGCCUCCCUCCAAUCUUGUUAAGAUGUCAGCACAUUUGCCUUCUGACA